GACGAACGCUGGCGGCGUGCUUAACACAUGCAAGUCGAACGAUGAAGUUCCUUCGGGAAUGGAUUAGUGGCGAACGGGUGAGAAACACGUGAGAAACCUGCCUUUCAUUUUGGGAUAACUCCGGGAAACCGGAGCUAACACCGAAUACUCCGCCUCGGCGGCAUCGCUGAGCCGGGAAAAAAUUAUGAUGAAAGAUGGUCUCGCGGCCUAUCAGCUAGUUGGUGAGGUAAUGGCUCACCAAGGCGACGACGGGUAGCCGGCCUGAGAGGGCGGCCGGCCACACUGGGACUGAGACACGGCCCAGACUCCUACGGGAGGCAGCAGUGGGGAAUAUUGGGCAAUGGGCGCAAGCCUGACCCAGCGACGCCGCGUGAGGGAUGAAGGCCUUCGGGUUGUAAACCUCUUUCAGUAGGGAAGAAGCGAAAGUGACGGUACCUAAAGAAGAAGCACCGGCUAACUAUGUGCCAGCCGCCGCCGUAA
Molecule: ribosomal RNA, 480 nt
Filed under: uncultured bacterium
Lineage: Bacteria
Description: partial 16S ribosomal RNA
Rfam family: Bacterial small subunit ribosomal RNA
Source: RNAcentral